CAGUAGCGUAUAUUAAUGUUGUUGCAGUUAAAAGCUCGUAGUUGGAUUUCUAGUCGACAUGCGUGGUCCGCUGCACCUAGUGUAUGUGAGUACCGCAGCGUGUCGCCUAUCCUAUCAGUUUGUCUGGGCUUCGGUCCGGGCUGACUGGUUCUUUUACUUUGAAAAAUUAGAGUGUUUAAAGCAGGCUUGCGCAAUGAAUACAUUAGCAUGGAAUAAUAACAUAGGACUUCGGUCUCUAUUUUGUUGGUUUCUAGAACUGAAGUAAUGAUUGAUAGGGAUAGUUGGGGGUGCUAGUAUUGAGCGGCCAGAGGUGAAAUUCUCGGAUUCGCUCAAGACUAACUUAUGCGAAAGCAUUCACCAAGGAUGUCUUCUUUAAUCAAGAACGAAAGUUGGGGGAUCGAAGAUGAUCAGAUACCA
RNAcentral lists this ribosomal RNA (417 nucleotides) under uncultured eukaryote. RNAcentral's name for it is "bacterial SSU rRNA". It matches the Rfam family "Eukaryotic small subunit ribosomal RNA", at positions 592 to 1017 of the family's 1831-position model. The record is from RNAcentral.